Molecule: ribosomal RNA, 439 nt
Filed under: uncultured bacterium
Lineage: Bacteria
Description: partial 16S ribosomal RNA
Rfam family: Bacterial small subunit ribosomal RNA
Source: RNAcentral
CUACGGGGCGCUGCAGUGAGGAAUAUUGCACAAUGGGGGGAACCCUGAUGCAGCAACGCCGCGUGGAGGAUGGCGCAUUUCGGUGUGUAAACUCCUUUUAUAUGUCAAGAAAAUGACGGUAGCAUAUGAAUAAGCACCGGCUAACUCCGUGCCAGCAGCCGCGGUAAUACGGAGGGUGCAAGCGUCACUCGGAAUCACUGGGCGUAAAGGACGCGUAGGCGGGUUGGAAAGUCAGGUGUGAAAUCCUACAGCUUAACUGUAGAACUGCACUUGAAACUUCUAAUCUAGAGUAUGGGAGGGGGAGAUGGAAUUAGUGGUGUAGGGGUAAAAUCCGUAGAUAUCACUAGGAAUACCUAAAGCGAAGGCGAUCUCCUGGAACAUUACUGACGCUAAGGCGUGAAAGCGUGGGGAGCAAACAGGAUUAGAUACCCCGGUAGUC